CUCCUGGAAACGGGUGGUAAUGCCGGAUGUUCCAGUUGAUCGCAUGGUCUUCUGGGAAAGCUUUCGCGGUAUGGGAUGGGGUCGCGUCCUAUCAGCUUGACGGCGGGGUAACGGCCCACCGUGGCUUCGACGGGUAGCCGGCCUGAGAGGGCGACCGGCCACAUUGGGACUGAGAUACGGCCCAGACUCCUACGGGAGGCAGCAGUGGGGAAUAUUGCACAAUGGGCGCAAGCCUGAUGCAGCGACGCCGCGUGAGGGAUAGAGGCCUUCGGGUUGUAAACCUCUUUUAUCGGGGAGCAAGCGUGAGUGAGUUUACCCGUUGAAUAAGCACCGGCUAACUACGUGCCAGCAGCCGCGGUAAUACGUAGGGUGCAAGCGUUAUCCGGAAUUAUUGGGCGUAAAGGGCUCGUAGGCGGUUCGUCGCGUCCGGUGUGAAAGUCCAUCGCUUAACGGUGGAUCCGCGCCGGGUACGGGCGGGCUUGAGUGCGGUAGGGGAGACUGGAAUUCCCGGUGUAACGGUGGAAUGUGUAGAUAUCGGGAAGAACACC
This 548-nucleotide ribosomal RNA is filed under the name uncultured Bifidobacterium sp. Its description in RNAcentral is "bacterial SSU rRNA". It matches the Rfam family "Bacterial small subunit ribosomal RNA", at positions 147 to 710 of the family's 1533-position model. The record is from RNAcentral. Lineage: Bacteria; Bacillati; Actinomycetota; Actinomycetes; Bifidobacteriales; Bifidobacteriaceae.